GUUUCCCUCGGUGCUCGAGGCGGGGAAGAACGGGCAGCGCCAUGAUGACGCCUCCAAGGAGGUGACGGUGCCCGUGGGCGUCGCCGUCGUCAGCAUCACGCAGGGAUUUCUCCUGACCCUGCCGUCAGCCCCGACGCCCAUCACACUGAAGAGACCGCCCCCGUACGCGGGUUCGAUCUCUGUGCUUUUAGUACUAGUCCCUGUAUCGACUCACCAGCACACACAAUUUCAAGAUGUAAUAUCAUAGAACAAAGGUUUCAAUAUUACAACGCAUCAUCCAGAAUUUAAAAGUACUUACAAGCUCGUAUAACCUCAUGGGUUAGCUGGAAAUAAAACAAUUGUUUAGCAGCGGAAAAACGGAAGAUACAAGGGCUACAUCAACAUCAUGGUGAGAGCGUGUUGGAAUAUAGGCCCGUAACCCAAACAAGCAAAGCGUACUCUUACUCUUCGUUGGAGCUUCCUGCAUCAUUAAAGGAUGCAACCACUAGGGUCAAUACAUUGAAUGUAUUGGUAAGAUCACUAGGGGUUAUAUCAAAAUUUACCAAGUAUAUGCAUAAUGUGGCAAAGUGGGGUUCAAGGCUAUUUGCAUAAAAGCUUAGUUGUAUUGUCCUAUCUUUUAAUCAAAUAGAAUUUUAUCACUAUUGGACAUAGGGUAGACAUACCCAUGCUCUUAUUAAACUAAGGACAUUGAGUAGACACAUCAAUGCUCCUAAACCCAAGUUCAAACCAUUCCUUUUAUUUGAAAAUUAGAAUGAGUGAGAUUUUCCUUACAGCUCCACAUCCAGUUGCUCAAAAUUUGUCCAUUACCGAGGACACGGCUAAGUACUUAGUUUUGACGCUCUCGAGAGUUUGUACACAUUCCCCACAAGAAACCGACAGGUUAAUCUCUUGCUGUCCUCGGGGUAGAGUAGCAACGGCGUCGAUUACGAGAUUUUCAGAGGUAAUUCCCUAAACCACGAGAGAAUCAUGCCCCCCUACACAUUCUACCUCAGUACAAUUCCUUGGGUCUAGGUUCAUACAACUUACUCUUGUCUCGCCAGAGCUCAUAUAGCAUUGUGGUUGUACUGGAAGCUACUAAAUAGGAAACUAGUCCAGUCUCAGUUACCUCAGGCGGCAUUCCACAGUUGCAAUGUAGGCGCUCCCCGAAUCCACGGGAGAUACGUCCAUGGACGAUCCCUUUCCGAAUCCACGGAAAGUCGACUCAGAGGGACCCAUAGAAAUGGACCUGACGCCGCUAAUCCUCAAAAUUCUCAAAGCCGCCCACCCAGGAUGGUUCAUUGAAUUAAUUGUUUUGCCUUACUCUUGUAAAACAUUUCUUUUCUCCAUAGGCAUAAUAAUAUCAUAAUGUAUUAAUAUCCCCCACGAUACUAUCAUAGCCUAGCAUUCAACUACAAUCGAUGGCAAUUUGGUAGCAGGGUAAUGACAAGGGUAAACUAUACUACCUGGGAUUUAUAGCUAGCAUAGAGGUACGAGUAAUAUUCCUAAUGCAUCUAAUAAAACAACUAGUGCAUAGUAAAAAUAUUUGGGAGAUGAUCAAAGUGAACUUGCCUUGUCCAAGGUUGUGGUAGUUCUCGCACUCUUCGCAACAACAAGGUUCACAAUCCACACAAUCUAAAAUAAAAGAAAGCACACACACAAUAAACAUGCCAUUCAAUACAAAACAUGCUAUGAUGCAUAUGUCAUGACGAUGCACACAUAGGUUGCUUCUAAAUGUGACAUGUUUAGUUUUCUGUUUUGAAAAGCUUCACAAAAGAUUUGGACAGAUUAUACAAUAACAAAGAGGUACUUAUUUUGUAUGAAACAAGGAUGGGCUUUAAUUAAAAGCUUAUAUGAUUUUUGUAAAGCAUGGAGCAAGAUAAAUUUGUGUGGCCAUAUCAUUUACAAAAUAAUUUCCUUUCUGGUCCUAAUGGACAGAGAACAUACUCAAAUUAUUUUUCAGCAAGCUAACAUGCUCAAAACUAGUUUGAAAUAAUUCAUUUGAAUAUUAAACCAUAAUUAAGCAUUCUGUAAUUUGUUUCUGGUAAAGUUAUUCAAAGUUAAAAUUAUAUUAUGCCAAAAGAUUAUGCAGGUUAUGAGGAUUCCAUAAAGGUAUAGAACUUCAAAUUUGGCCAAACGGUUUGAGAGAUAUGAUGGUUUGAAGUUUCAGGGGCUUUUUUGCAAAGUUACUUUUUAAUUCGGCCGAGAAAUAAAUUUUAAUUUUAUACGGGACACGUGGAGCUAUCCUAUAGGCUGGUACCGGUUCGGUUAGGGUUUUAAUCUCAGCCGUUCAUGGAGAUCCGACGGCAGAGAGGGGAGACGGCUCACCGGGCGGCGCUAGGGUUCGUCGAAGACGAGGAAGACUGCUGCGGCGACAGCACGGCGACUCGGGCGGCAGUUCGGCUCGGGGAAGUAGGGGAACGGGUGCGGCUCGGCGAAGCGGUCCCAGCGGGGGUCGCGGCUUUGCUCGGGGAGCUCGAACGCGACGUCAAGGACGACGAAGGGCGGCGGCCGGCGGCGACGGCCUCUGGUCUGCGGCGGUCCAAAACAGAAAACGACCGCGUCACACGGUGCGCGCGAGAGAGAGAGAGAGGAGAAGGAAGAGGGGGUCGGCCGUGCAAAAAGCUCACCGGGACGACGACGACGGCAGAGAGCUUUCUCCAGCGAGGAAUUGCGAUGAAGCGAGGGCGAAAUUGAGCGUGGGAGUUGGGGGAAAAGUGAGAGAAGAGAGGGGCUUCAAGGUGACGCGCACAGGUUUGAGGAAGGGGGCUCUGCGCGGAAGAAACGGCGCGGAGUCGUGGGCGUGCUCGUGGGUCGUGGCCGGAGAUUUCGGCCGGGCAGUUGGAGAAGAUGACGGGCGGGGCCGCAUGUCAGCGGCACAGGCGGCUCGGGCGCGCGGGGCUGGUCCAGUUUGGUCGGUUAGCAGGCCGGUUCGGCCCAUUUGGCCGGGCCGGCCGCGGUUUUUUUUUUCCUUUUUCUUUUUCUAUUUUCUGUUUUUGAACACCAAAAUUGAUUCAAAGCUCCAAAUCACUCUCAAUAAAUUGCAACAAAAUUUGUAAAAAUCAUAUUUUCAUAUGAUCUAACUUUUGGGACAAGAUUUCUCUCAAAAUAAAAUACUUAAAAAUACCUUUUCCCUAUAAAAUUAGCCUUUAAGGCCUUUUAGACUAUCAAAAUAAUUUGUUUUUCAAAACAAUUUCAAAGGCCAAAUUAUGGGAUAGGCAUAUAUAUACAUUAAAUCCCUUUUUAUGUCAAAACCCACAUGGAUUAAAAUGCAAUUAUUCAAAAGCAAGAACAAAGGCCAAAUUCAAAUAAAAGUACUUUUGUAAAAGGGUUUUCUGGGUUAAUUUUAGGGUUUUUAAAUGUGGUUAAAUGUAAGGGUGGCAUGAUGCUUAUGAAAUGCAAUGCAUAUGGAGAGUUUUGAAAAUCGGAAUGUUACACACGCAACAAGGAGCCGCCUUAGAGAAUCGAGAUCCACAUCGUCAGAGGAGUAGGAGGCUGCGCACCGUCUCAACGCCACCGAACGGGGACUGGGCGGUGUGGACCCAGCCCACCGCUGCCUGGCCGGCCGCCGGCACCACCACGGUGCAGGUGCCAACACAACAGGUUCCACGCGCACCUGGAGAAGCGCCAAGAUCCACAGGCCCGCCCAGGACCAGAUGGGCCCUACGCGGGCCCAAAGCUCUCGGCCUCCGCCAAGAUCCACAUGGGCGCCUCCGUCGACCCUGCCGACGCCGCGCCGCCGCUCCAGCCGACCGCCGCCGCCCACCAGACGGCUCCCACCGCCAUGUGCCGAGCGCCGCCGCCUCCUUGCCACCAGCAGCGCCCAAAAGAAUCUCCGCCUUCGCGCGAAGGGGAGAGGCAGGGCGCCCCUCCGUCGCCCCCCGUCUUCGACGGCCAGGCGAGGCCGCCUCCGCCAGCGCAAGGCGGCGGCAGCGGCCGGGGAGGAUUCAACCUGCGGCGGCUAGGGUUUGGGUGGUGGAGUCGCCUCCGGAGUCGCCCCGCGCGAGACGACCCGGGAGGGAAGAUGGUAAUAGCUUUGCCCCCUACAUGGACAAAUAUGGAGGACGCAUUAAUUGAACGCUAUUCUAUCUAUGACCUCCGGAAUGGUAAUAUGUCGACCAAUAUUGCCCAUCUCUUCUGCGGAAUAUAUACAGUCAAACAUGGAAAUUUUGCAAACUUGGGUGUGCGACUGCAAACCAAACGGCAUGGAUGCAAAAUGAACAAUGCAUUGCAAGUGUUGUACUCCAACAUGUAAAGUCUUCUUUACUGAAGGAAGUAGCUUUCAUUCAUGGAAUGAUCACUCCAAGAAGCUCAGUAUGUUGACGAAAACGCGUCGAGGAAAGGUGAAAAGGCACUUGAGAAAUAUGAUUGAGUGAAUAGAUUCUUAC
Molecule: long non-coding RNA, 4364 nt
Filed under: Brachypodium distachyon (stiff brome)
Lineage: Eukaryota; Viridiplantae; Streptophyta; Magnoliopsida; Poales; Poaceae
Description: long non-coding RNA (BDIS_LNC001974)
Source: RNAcentral